This 218-nucleotide long non-coding RNA is filed under the name Phaseolus vulgaris (common bean). RNAcentral's name for it is "long non-coding RNA (PVUL_LNC005317)". The record is from RNAcentral. Lineage: Eukaryota; Viridiplantae; Streptophyta; Magnoliopsida; Fabales; Fabaceae.
UUACACUCGAGGUAUUAGGAAUAGGUGAAGGUCCCCAUACAUCUGAAUGAAUAAGAUCAAAAGGUUUAGAAAUUUUAUUACCAUUGGAAAGAAAAGUUGUCCGAUGGUGUUUAGCAAACUGGAAAACAUCACAAUGAAAAGACUCAACAUACACUGCUGUAAAUAAAACAGGAAAUAAGUACUAAAUGGAGGAUGACCAAGACAUCUGUGUUGAAGCC